GCCUCGGUGGCUCUGAGGCGAGAGCGCCGGCCUGCGGAUCCCCAGUUAGCGGGUUCAAGUCCCGACCGAGGUG
This 73-nucleotide transfer RNA is filed under the name Ixodes scapularis (black-legged tick). It matches the Rfam family "tRNA". From Rfam's summary of the family: Transfer RNA (tRNA) molecules are approximately 80 nucleotides in length. Their secondary structure includes four short double-helical elements and three loops (D, anti-codon, and T loops). Further hydrogen bonds mediate the characteristic L-shaped molecular structure. tRNAs have two regions of fundamental functional importance: the anti-codon, which is responsible for specific mRNA codon recognition, and the 3' end, to which the tRNAs corresponding amino acid is attached (by aminoacyl-tRNA synthetases). tRNAs cope with the degeneracy of the genetic code in two manners: having more than one tRNA (with a specific anti-codon) for a particular amino acid; and 'wobble' base-pairing, i.e. permitting non-standard base-pairing at the 3rd anti-codon position. Lineage: Eukaryota; Metazoa; Arthropoda; Arachnida; Ixodida; Ixodidae. The record is from Rfam by way of RNAcentral.